This 254-nucleotide ribosomal RNA is filed under the name uncultured bacterium. RNAcentral's name for it is "partial 16S ribosomal RNA". It matches the Rfam family "Bacterial small subunit ribosomal RNA", at positions 524 to 776 of the family's 1533-position model. The record is from RNAcentral.
UACGUAGGGUCCAAGCGUUGUCCGGAUUUACUGGGCGUAAAGAGCGCGUAGGCGGUCUAUUAAGUGUGAAGUGAAAUCUCCAGGGCUCAACCCGGAAACUGCUUCGCAUACUGAUAGACUUGAGGAAUGCAGAGGUUUGUGGAAUUCCUGGUGUAGCGGUGAAAUGCGUAGAGAUCGGGAGGAAUACCUGUGGCGAAGGCGGCCUACUGGGCCGGACCUGACGCUGAGACGCGAAGGCGUGGGGAGCGAACGGG